RNAcentral lists this long non-coding RNA (2693 nucleotides) under Heterocephalus glaber (naked mole-rat). RNAcentral's name for it is "lncRNA (ENSHGLG00100041512.1)". The record is from RNAcentral. Lineage: Eukaryota; Metazoa; Chordata; Mammalia; Rodentia; Bathyergidae.
GUAAGGACACUGUGCAGAAUCCGUUCAGUGUCAGCAGAGACCCUGGGCCUGGAGCAGGGUUCACUUGUGCUGGGGAGACCCCUGGCAGGAAAAGAACCUCACGCCGCCUGCACCAACCAACAGGGCCUAGGGGUGCUGAGCCUGCACCCCUGGCUGUGACAGUUCUGGUUGCUGUGGGGAAAUUAGGGAAGCAUCCCCUCCUCACCUGCUGCCCUCUGCAGCGAAGAGGCCACUGGGGAGGGGAGCCGGGUGCUGCUCCAGGGCAGCGUGGAGGCACCGUGCGCAGUGUGGGCAGGAGAGCGCCUUGUCCCGCCACCCCGUGGGUCUGUGGCCUGGAGCGGCCCCCAGAGCCCACAUCCACCCACGGAAGAGGUCCCAAGGGCGGAAGAUGGGGGAGGAGAACACAGAGAAGACGGCCCCAGCAGGCCACCUCCCAGGCCAGCGCCCCCUCCUUGGAGGCUUCAACCUCAAGACUCUUGUGCUGCUGCCUCCUGGCUGCUGAGGCAGCCACUUCCAGGGACGCUGGCUCUCCCUUCCUGCCCCCCACCCUGCCCGGCACGCUUGGCACUGUGGGCAUAGGACAGGCACCGAGCAGAUGCAUGGACGCAUGUGUGACUGGCCCUUGGCAACUCACCUUUCUGCCAAAAGCGAUAGCAGGGCUUGUGGGUGAGAAACAACGAUGACGUGGACGCCUGCGUACAGUCCCCACUGCCUGCUGCUCCGGCGGCCUCCCCACACCUGGUCAUUGCUACGUUUCCAUCUGAUGUUUUCCGGAUGACCCCCACAGCCUCAGGACAUCUUCAGUGGGGCUGCAGGGAGGCGACUGCAUUGUGGGGGCUGAUGGCUGGCUUGCUGUUGGGAGGGGCCGUUGGAGGACACAGGUCACUGGGGGCGUGGCCCAGAAGGGUCUGCCUUCCUCCCUCAUCUCCCUGCUUCAUCUACACCCCUGCCACGAGCAGCUCUCCUCUGCCAGGCCCCUCUGGCCUGCACCCUGCCCUCGGAGCCAGCUGACUAUGGACUGAAGCCUCCACAGACUGGGAACCGACAUAAACCUCUCCUUAUAGUUGAGGCUGUCCAGUGUCGUGUUCUAGCAACAAAACAGGUGACUAAGACAGUCACGGCCACUGCAAGGAAGCCGGUCCAAGCACAUCACUCCUUGGCAGCCCCAAGUUUUAAGACCAACAGAUACAGACAUUUAAAAUCACAUUUAAUUCUAAAAUUCCCGCUUGGCAAUCCAAUCUUGGAGGACAGGAAUUGCCCCUGACCUUCCUGCCCCCAGCACAUGGCUGUGAACUGAGUGAAUGAUGAAGCUGCAUGUUGACAUUUGGGAAGAGGAAACUUAAGAGCAAACCGGACUUGGAGGAUAUUUUCAAUACAAAUUCAGAGCGGGCCUGUGUUAGAAACCAAUGUAAAAAAGUCAUGUAGGCCCCAGCAAGGUUUUCAUAGACUGCGUGAGCUUAUGCUUAAGUAAGCAUGCAAAAGCUAAGGCUUCAGAAGAGCUCAAAGAGCUUUUAAGCAGCAGAAGAGAGUGGGAGGACUCAGCCUACCUGACCCUGAGAUGAGUGGAUGUCAACAUGAGGAUCGGUUUGUGGUGGAGGGUGGACACAGGCCAGCAGAGCAGAGCGGACAACCCAGAGGGGCCUGUGCUCACGGGGGCCCCAUUAGUUAUUUCCUAGCUCUGGGUUUGAGCCCAGGGCGUCACACCUGCGAGGUCCGGCCUCCAUCACUGAGCCCGCCCCCAGCCCCAUUUGCUUUUGCGGGGGAGGGAUUCAGCCUUUUAGCAACUGGAGCUGGAGCAAAGGGGCAACACUAAGACAGCAAGUUUUACAAAAGAGUUUCUUCACACAGCCAGGCGUGGAGGAGGAGAGCCAGGCUCAGCCUCCUCCCAGAGGGCAGGGCUUAGGGACAUUCAUGGAAGGAGUAGGAUGGCCUAAGGCGUGGGGAGGCCAGGGGCACAGGGGAGGUUGGCGGUGGGCUGCACGGCUCCUCAGAGGACACACGUCUGGAUAACACGGCACUGACAGAGCAGAGGGUGCAGCUCUUGACCCCUGGGUGUUGAAGAAGUCAUCUGUGACCCUGCACAGCCCCAUGCUCAGAGCUGGGGCCCUGCCAAAGUAGCCGGGCAGCCCAGAUGCCCAUUGCCUACCCCCAGCUGGUCACCUGCAGAGGAGGUGGCUGGUCAGUGACACCAUGCGCAUCUUCCUGACCUCCAAAAUGCAAGACUUUCAAAGUCACCUAAAAGCAAGUAACAAUGCAAGUGUCCCUCAGUUUCAGACCUGCAGUUCCCUGCUUGACCGCCGGACCCUGCUCCUGAAGAGAGGAGUCGCUGGGUGCGGCCUCUCAAUGUCAGGCGUCUUUGCAGAGAGCCGCCCUCCCGGAGAGGUGCUCACGGGGGCCUGGACCUGGCCUACGUCCCUGCCGGUGAGCGGCACUGUGUGCAGGUGGACUGCGCUUCAUCACCCUUUGGCUGCUUUAGACUUGUGAGCUGUUCCCAGUGCUCGGGCUGUUUUGGAAAACAGACGAACACUGCUUUGACUUCUUAGUGCAGCCCUCUAUGACAACUUUUCAUUCAUCCUGGGUGAAACCCUAGGAGUGGAGCAGUCAUCAGGUAAGGGUGGAUUUAGCUUUUUAAAAGUGGGUUUCACUGUGGCAUCUCACACAUGCAAAUGACACAUUCCACCCCAGUCCUCCCC